This 637-nucleotide long non-coding RNA is filed under the name Betta splendens (Siamese fighting fish). Its description in RNAcentral is "lncRNA (ENSBSLG00000009885.1)". Lineage: Eukaryota; Metazoa; Chordata; Actinopteri; Anabantiformes; Osphronemidae. The record is from RNAcentral.
GUCUUGUUUACGGAACUGUCGGCGCUGUUUUUUGUUUCUGGACGGACGGUUUUCGUGGUGGCACGUGAGUCCAAAACAGCACAAUUUUGCAGCUGAGCAAAGGCGUGUGGGCGCAUCAGUCAUGUUUCACUGGAUGAAGAGAACCAGCGGCGGCUCCGCGACGCUCGACGGCCUCGGUUCCGUCUCUAAAGCGGAGAUUCUGCGAGGAAUCGUGACCGAGAAACUGGCCACGGCGGCGCAGGAGGUCCUAGCGAUGCUGGAGCGAACCGCAGCUACGAGGAGGAGGCGUCGGGCUUCAGGCAGGAGAUCGAGCGGCAGAGGAGGCACUUCUGCAGCCGCGGGUCAAACUGGACCGAAGAGUCACGACCCGGAGCCGGACAGUGAUGAGGUGGUUCUGGUGAGGAGGGAGGAGACGAUCAGCGACACACACAACAUCAAGACACCGGGAGUCUGGGUUUGGACCUGUGGUUUGAUGAUGAUGAUGGUGAUGGUGGUGGUGGUGGUGAUGAUGAUGGGGAUGAUGGUGAUGGUGGUGGUGGUGGUGAUGAUGAUGAUGAUGAUGAUGAUGAUGAUGAUGAUGAUGGGGAUGAUGAUCAUGGUGAUGAUGAUGAUGGGGUCGGUGGAGAUGCAGCAUUGA